GUGCUUGCUAUGGUAGCACAUAUACUAAAAUUGGAACGAUACAGAGAAGGUUAACAACACCCUGCUCAAGGAUGACAUGCAAAUCCGUGAAGCGUUCCAUAUUUUU
Molecule: small nuclear RNA, 106 nt
Organism: Mesocricetus auratus (golden hamster)
Lineage: Eukaryota; Metazoa; Chordata; Mammalia; Rodentia; Cricetidae
Source: Ensembl